GACGAACGCUGGCGGCGUGCUUAACACAUGCAAGUCGAACGGAAAGUGCUCUUCGGAGUGACUCGAGUGGCGAACGGGUGAGUAACACGUGGGUGAUCUGCCCUGCACUUCGGGAUAAGCCUGGGAAACUGGGUCUAAUACCGGAUAUGACCACGCGCUUCAUGGUGUGUGGUGGAAAGCUUUUGCGGUGUGGGAUGGGCCCGCGGCCUAUCAGCUUGUUGGUGGGGUAAUGGCCUACCAAGGCGACGACGGGUAGCCGGCCUGAGAGGGUGUCCGGCCACACUGGGACUGAGAUACGGCCCAGACUCCUACGGCAGGCAGCAGUGGGGAAUAUUGCACAAUGGGCGCAAGCCUGAUGCAGCGACGCCGCGUGAGGGAUGACGGCCUUCGGGUUGUAAACCUCUUUCAGCAGGGACGAAGCGCAAGUGACGGUACCUGUAGAAGAAGCACCGGCCAACUACGUGCCAGCAGCCGCGGUAAUACGUAGGGUGCGAGCGUUGUCCGGAAUUACUGGGCGUAAAGAUCUCGUAGGUGGUUUGUCGCGUUGUUCGUGAAAACUCACAGCUUAACUGUGGGCGUGCGGGCGAUACGGGCAGACUGGAGUACUGCAGGGGAGACUGGAAUUCCUGGUGUAGCGGUGGAAUGCGCAGAUAUCAGAGGAACACCGGUGGCGAAAGCGGGUCUCUGGGCAGUAACUGACGCUGAGGAGCGAAAGCGUGGGGAGCGAACAGGAUUAGAUACCCUGGUAGUCCACGCCAUAAACGGUGGGUACUAGGUGUGGGUUUCCUUCCUUGGGAUCCGUGCCGUAGCUAACGCAUUAAGUACCCGCCUGGGAGUACGNCGCAGGCUAAA
RNAcentral lists this ribosomal RNA (852 nucleotides) under uncultured bacterium. RNAcentral's name for it is "bacterial SSU rRNA". It matches the Rfam family "Bacterial small subunit ribosomal RNA", at positions 28 to 898 of the family's 1533-position model. The record is from RNAcentral.